AGAGUUUGAUCCUGGCUCAGAUUGAACGCUGGCGGCAGGCCUAACACAUGCAAGUCGAGCGGAUGACGGGAGCUUGCUCCUUGAUUCAGCGGCGGACGGGUGAGUAAUGCCUAGGAAUUCUGCCUGGUUAGUGGGGGACAACGUUUUGGAAAGGAACGCUAAUACCGCAUACGUCCUACGGGAGAAAGCAGGGGACCUUCGGGCCUUGCGCUAUCAGAUGAGCCUAGGUCGGAUUAGCUAGUUGGUGGGGUAAUGGCUCACCAAGGCGACGAUCCGUAACUGGUCUGAGAGGAUGAUCAGUCACACUGGAACUGAGACACGGUCCAGACUCCUACGGGAGGCAGCAGUGGGGAAUAUUGGACAAUGGGCGAAAGCCUGAUCCAGCCAUGCCGCGUGUGUGAAGAAGGUCUUCGGAUUGUAAAGCACUUUAAGUUGGGAGGAAGGGCAGUAAGUUAAUACCUUGCUGUUUUGACGUUACCGACAGAAUAAGCACCGGCUAACUCUGUGCCAGCAGCCGCGGUAAUACAGAGGGUGCAAGCGUUAAUCGGAAUUACUGGGCGUAAAGCGCGCGUAGGUGGUUUGUUAAGUUGGAUGUGAAAGCCCCGGGCUCAACCUGGGAACUGCAUCCAAAACUGGCAAGCUAGAGUACGGUAGAGGGUGGUGGAAUUUCCUGUGUAGCGGUGAAAUGCGUAGAUAUAGGAAGGAACACCAGUGGCGAAGGCGACCACCUGGACUGAUACUGACACUGAGGUGCGAACGCGUGGGGAGCAAACAGGAUAAGAUACCCUGGUAGUCC
This 796-nucleotide ribosomal RNA is filed under the name uncultured bacterium. RNAcentral's name for it is "bacterial SSU rRNA". It matches the Rfam family "Bacterial small subunit ribosomal RNA", at positions 8 to 796 of the family's 1533-position model. The record is from RNAcentral.